Molecule: long non-coding RNA, 6184 nt
Filed under: Triticum aestivum (bread wheat)
Lineage: Eukaryota; Viridiplantae; Streptophyta; Magnoliopsida; Poales; Poaceae
Description: long non-coding RNA (TAES_LNC023297)
Source: RNAcentral
UGCGGUUUAUUGAGUUAUAUUCAUUCAUUUCUUGCCAUGAAUUGUUGAAUUUGUGAAUGAUAAUCAUAUAAAGGGGUCAUUUACUACUCAGUGGUUUGUUUUGCAGAAAAGUGCGAGAAGGCACUAUAAACUUCAAGAUACGGACUAAGUGGCUAAGAGAACGAAGAAGAGGAGGAAGAAUGGAUUUGUGCAAGAAGAAACAAAGUAACCAGGGGGGCAACUUGAGAAGAGAGGGAUGUUCUUGCGAAGGAAGAAGGAAGCAGGAGGGCCAUUGUGCAAAUGGAAGAUCAGAUCGAGGGGUCAAAAUAUCUAGUCCAUCUCCAAUUCCCCUCGGGCCUGGCACAUCUCUCUCUCCCUCACCCUCCUUCUCCAACUCCGGCCGCCGCCACGGCCAGGCCGGCGUGGUGGUGCGCCUCCGCCUGCCAUCCAUCCACUAGCUCCACCGCGCCAUCUCCACCAGCCGCCGCUGCAUCAUCCACCAUCUCGCGCCCCCGAUGCUCUUCUCCUCCCCACGUCUGAACUGCUGCUACUCCACCUUUCUUCUUCCCCCAAAUUCUGCUGCUGCUCUCUCUCUAACCUCCCCACGCCUCUGCUUCUUCUUCUCCCUCUCCUUGCUGCUACUCCUUCCUCUCACGUCCCCCUGCUGCUGCUCUUCUUCUUGCGCCGAUCUGCUGCUGCUCUGCUUCCUCCACUAAACUGCUGCUACCUCUGCUUCUUCUCUUCCUACUGCUCCUUCUCCCUUCCCUCGCCUUGCUGCUGCUCCUCCACUUCUCAACUCGAACCAGUUGCUCCUCCUCCUUCCCUUGCCUCUUCUCAAUCUGCUGCUACUACUCUUCUCCUUACCUCGCUGCUGCACUUCUCCUUCUCCUAACCUUGCUGCUGUUCAUCUCUGAAUCCUCACCAUGCUGCUGCUCUCUCCCGCUCUAUUGCUCUUCUCUGAAUCCCGUACUGCUGCUGCUCCUUUCUCCAUGCCCCAGUUGCUGCUUCUUCUUUCUCUAAUCUCCUGCUGCCAUCUCUCUUUCUCCUUUUCUUCUCUGAAUUUUCUGUAGUUUGAGACGUCUAGUCUGUAACAUUCAGAUUCUAAGAGUACUUGCUUCCUGUACUAGUUACUUCUACUGUCUAUUUUUAGUUGUUCAAUACUACUCUGUUGAUCUGUGAUACUAGUCAAGUGGCUUGUUUAAUUUGUUUACUUGUGUAACCUGAAUCAUGGUGUAGUACCCUGUUCGCAUAUGUGUGCUUAUGUGUGUUCUGUAGUCCCUGUGUUAAUUACGUUCAUGUGAAAAUAUAUAUGUUUGUGUUGUGAUAUAUUUCUGUCUCUGUCUCUGUCAUAGCAUUCUUUCUUCCCCUUUGUUACUUGUAUGAUAGUAAUAUAUGUGUUUGUGUCCCAUAGCUUCCCUUUAUGUUAGUAUUUUAGCGUCUCUAGUAAAACAAAAAUACCAAAGAAAGUUAGUAAAAUCUGAAUCUACCUUUGCCUUUUUGCAUUUUCAUUGGCGACAUCUCCAUAGUUUAGGUUUAUUUUCUGUUCCCAUCAUCUGAAUUGUAUUACCUAGCUUUAGUCGAGCGUAGCCGCUGAUUGCCUAGUCCCUGCGGAGAACACGACAUCCGUAGUUUGGGGCGUAUAAGCCCGCUAUAUUAUAAUUGAUCAUUUUGGCGCCGUUGCCGGGGACUAGUGUCGAGUGACCGUGUUAGGCUAUAGACUAGGUUUUUCUUCUUUUUCUAUUUUGUGCCAUAUAUUUGUGAUAUAUCUCUAACUCCUAACCCUUGUUCCAGAUUAUUUCCUCUUUGUUUUCUUUUCCUUUUUAAAGGUUAGAACCAUCUUCUCGGACAUGGCUUACUAUUCAGAUCAUCAUGCUUAUGCGAGCAACACUACAAACAACACCGAAAGUAUUCAAGAACUGAUAAGUAAGAUUUCCCAUCAAUUAGAUGAUUUAGCUCGGCAGCGAGAAGUAGUUUUUGAGGAUAGACCUAGCUCUUAUGAUCCUUGUUCUAGAUUCCAUCCUUAUGUUGCUCCUACUUGCCAUAUUUGUGGAUUUCAGGGCCAUUCGCCCGCUGAAUGUCAGCGUGGUUACUCUCACACUCCAGAUUGUUUUGGCAUGAGCUUCGCUCAACAGCAUAGCUCAUACCAAAACAAUUACUCAUAUGGGUGGCCUGAAAACCCGAAUAUGUCAUAUAGAAGCAACAACCCUGAGAUCUCACCGUUUGCUUCUAGUAAUCAUAUGCAGGGAUUUAGGUAUGAAGAGGAGAGCCACAACUAUGCUCCACAACAGUCUUAUUCAGCUCCUAUUCAUAUACCUCAGCACCAGCAGAUGUUGCCAAUGGAGUUAAAUGGUCCUCCAUUUGGUCAACCAACACCUUCAACACAAGUGCCUACUCAAGAUGAGUUCGAUGACAUAGACAAGCUCGCACUUUUGAGUCUCGAGUUCACUUGGAGUGCCGAGGAUGAUCCUAUUAGGAAGGUUAUACUAGAUGAAAUGAAGAAGAUCAAGAGUGGGAAUGAGCUAGUGGAAGAAGUAAAGAAGAUUGAGAAGAACAUCAACGCUGGCAGUACUAUUUCUUCACAACUUGAUCUGAGUAAUUCUGGGAUUCCCCUUGAUACACGUGAGGUUCCAAUACCGUCACAUCUAGCUGAGCAAGAUAGCAAGUGCUUUGAGCAAGAGAUACCUCAGAUUGAAGAAGAUGAACUAGAAGACAAGGAACAAGAUGAUCAAGAUCUGCAAUUCCCAAGUGAUCAAGUUGAAGACUCGUCAUCUACUACUCCUGAAGAAGUAAAAGAAGCUGCUGUAGAUGAAGAUGAAGAACCUGAGAUUCAUUGGCCUAUUGUCAUACAUGAGCGUGAUGUGUCAGGUUUUCCCAAUCCUCUUGAUGACAUGCUCCCUUACGAUUUCGUUGCUUCUACCUUGCAUUACAUGAUACCGUCACUUAAGAUUGAUUUGAAAACUCAUUUGCUUGGAUAUGAUGAUAUAUACCCUGUUAGUGGCAUUACUCUCAUUUGUGAUGAUCAUAGUUACUUUCCUCGUGCUAGUCCUAUGCUUAAUGAAACAUAUCAUUCCCAUGCUAGUCUUGAGCUUAAUGAUAAAUAUCAUCCUCAUGUUAGUGUUGACCUUGCUGAUUUCUACCAUCCUAAACAUGUGCUUUAUAGCUAUGCUUAUGUAAUUGGAUAUUCGAUUGAUUACUUGGAGGGUAUUAUCCCUACCACUUGCAUUGCCUCUUUCGUUGGGUGUUCUUUCAGGUUCUUGCUUGUGCACGAUCCACUACAUGCUGACCAAGUUCGAGAUGACAUUCCCUGGGACCCCGGUGGACCUAUAGCAUGGGGAUGAGGAGAAGCAAGGAGCACACAUGAAGAGAGAAGCUGGAGCAGGCAUGAGGAUAGAGAAGCAAAAAGAGAAGAGUUGCAGUUCAGAGAGUGAUUGUGCGAGACCUACAUCAUAUAAGCCCGGUGAGCUGUUUCAUGACCCAUUCUGAGUAUAUCAUCCAUUGAUACAUGCUGAAAUCAAAUGUUAUUUGGGUUGCUUAAGCCAUGUCUUAAAUGUUGCCCCACUAAAUUUUAUUUGACAUAUGGUGCUUGAUGAGAAUAUGCGAACUGAUUGUUGAAUGCCAUGUAAACUAGUGAUCUACAUAUUGCUUGCUUUGCUGAAAUUAGUGAAAGUUAUUAGUUUUGAGUGCUCAAAUCCCUAGUACACUAGAAAACUUAAUCAUUUUCUGCUUUUACCUCGAUACACCUAGAUCACCACGUUUAGAUGUUGUAUUUGUGCCAAGUGUCUUCCCAUUGAGAGCAAUCACCUAACCACUAUGGAUUAGCAUGCUAUGUUCCCUGGAUCGGUAGCAUGUGAACCAGACAUGGAGAAGUGAUUAUUCCUGUUUUUGUUCUUAUGCGUUAUUCAUUUAUGAUAAGUAAUAAUGAAGAAAUAAGUCUGGCUACCUACAGUAGCAUGUCAUGUUCCCGGGAUCGGUGGCAUGUGAAAUCGGGUUAGCUUGGGCAGUAAUUAACAAUAAUAAAAAUGUAAUUGUCGAACCAGGUGUAUACCAUGUUCUUGGGAUCGGUGGUAUGUUCCUUUGGGGAGACAAACAAAAAAAACUAAUAAUUGGUUGAGCCAGGUGUAUACCAUGUUCUCGGGAUCGGUGGUAUGUUCCUUCGGUGAGACUAAUAAAAUAAUAUGUGUGUUUCUUUCAAAUUCAAUAAGUGGUUCAACCACAAAGUCAUAUUUCUGCAAAUAAGAGAUUUAAUUCUAGUUCUUUUUGUUCUCGGGAUCAUGCUCUCUUUAGGAACCAUUUGGCGCAGUCAUCAUUUAAACUUGUUGAUCCUCUUUUAUCACUGUAAAAGUUUAAAAUGGUCAUGCUUACUAGUAUCCUACUGCUUUGUAGCACUCCUAACCAUUAAUUUUCACUAGCUAAGUCUGAAGCAUGCCUUGUUUGGAGAUCUAUUUUACCAGGACAUUCCUUACUCAGUUUACUGUUCAUUAUCUUGCCUUUGUCAUAUUCUUUUGCUUGAGGACAAGCAAAGAUUUAAGUGUGGGGGAAAUUGAUCUACACAUUUCAUAUACAUCUUUUGGCUCUGAAAUAUGCGGUUUAUUGAGUUAUAUUCAUUCAUUUCUUGCCAUGAAUUGUUGAAUUUUGUGAAUGAUAAUCAUAUAAAGGGGUCAUUUACUACUCAGUGGUUUGUUUUGCAGAAAAGUGCGAGAAGGCACUAUAAACUUCAAGAUACGGACUAAGUGGCUAAGAGAACGAAGAAGAGGAGGAAGAAUGGACUUGUGCGAGAAGAAACAAAGUAACCAGGGGGCCAACUUGAGAAGAGAGGGAUGUUCUUGCGAAGGAAGAAGGAAGCAGGAGGGCCAUUGUGCAAAUGGAAGAUCAGAUUGAGGGGUCAAAAUCCCUAGUCCAUCUCCAAUUCCCCUCGGGCCUGGCACAUCUCUCUCUCCCUCACCCCUCCUUCUCCAACUCCGGCCGCCGCCACGGCCAGGCCGGCGUGGUGGUGCGCCUCCGCCUCCCAUCCAUCCACUAGCUCCACCGCGCCAUCUCCACCAGCCGCCGCUGCAUCAUCCACCAUCUCUCGCCCCCGAUGCUCUUCUCCUCCCCACGUCCAAACUGCUGCUACUCCACCUUUCUUCUUCCCCCAAAUUCUGCUGCUGCUCUCUCUCUAACCUCCCCACGCCUCUGCUUCUUCUUCUCCCUCUCCUUGCUGCUACUCCUUCCUCUCACGUCCCCCUGCUGCUGCUCUUCUUCUUGCGCCGAUCUGCUGCUGCUCUGCUUCCUCCACUAAACUGCUGCUACCUCUGCUUCUUCUCUUCCUACUGCUGCUUCUCCCUUCCCUCGCCUUGCUGCUGCUCCUCCACUUCUCAACUCGAACCAGCUGCUCCUCCUCCUUCCCUUGCCUCUUCUCAAUCUGCUGCUACUACUCUUCUCCUUACCUCGCUGCUGCACUUCUCCUUCUCCUAACCUUGCUGUUGUUCAUCUCUGAAUCCUCACCACGCUGCUACUCUCUCCCGCUCUAUUGCUCUUCUCUGAAUCCCGUACUGCUGCUGCUCCUUUCUCCAUGCCCCAGUUGCUGCUUCUUCUUUCUCUAAUCUCCUGCUGCCAUCUCUCUUUCUCCUUUUCUUCUCUGAAUUUUCUGUAGUUUGAGACGUCUAGUCUGUAACAUUCAGAUUCUAAGAGUACUUGCUUCCUGUACUAGUUACUUCUACUGUCUAUUUUUAGUUGUUCAAUACUACUCUGUUGAUCUGUGAUACUAGUCAAGUGGCUUGUUUAAUUUGUUUACUUGUGUAACCUGAAUCAUGGUGUAGUACCCUGUUCGCAUAUGUGUGCUUAUGUUUGUUCUGUAGUCCCUGUGUUAAUUACGUUCAUGUGAAAAUAUAUAUGUUUGUGUUGUGAUACAUUUCUGUCUCUGUCUCUGUCAUAGCAUUCUUUCUUCCCCUUUGUUACUUGUAUGAUAGUAAUAUAUGUGUUUGUGUCCCAUUGCUUCCCUUUAUGUUAGUGUUUUAGUGUCUCUAGUAAAACAAAAAUACCAAAGAAAGUUACUAAAAUCUGAAUCUACCUUUGCCCUUUUUGCAUUUUCAUUGGCGACAAUCUUCAUAGUUUAGGUUUAUUUUCUGUUCCCAUCAUCUGAAUUGUAUUACCUAGCUUUAGUCGAGCGUAGCCGCUGAUUGCCUAGUCCCUGUGGAGAACACGACAUCCGUAGUUUGGGGCGUAU